Molecule: long non-coding RNA, 763 nt
Filed under: Hordeum vulgare
Lineage: Eukaryota; Viridiplantae; Streptophyta; Magnoliopsida; Poales; Poaceae
Description: long non-coding RNA (HVUL_LNC020054)
Source: RNAcentral
AACACCACUACCAGGUCUACGCAAGACUGAAAACAGUGAUCUCCAUGUUUUCAGUAGUGUUCACUUCACAGUUCACACGCUAGCAUGCUUUUCAGUAGUUGCGCAUCUACGGACCUACCUGUUAUCACAGGCACAUUUCGAGCUCUUCACAUCGAGUUCAAUCCUAAACCACUCACGUUUCAUAGUAUGAUCCAAAGUCCAAACAACGCCUCAUUACGCUCUGAACAGGAUAUAGUAACUGUAAAGUACAGCACCCGCCCUCAGAAACAUGUUGACAUCUAAAUCUACCAAACUCAUGGAGAAACAACAACAAAAAUGUGCCUGGAACUUCUAUAUGCACAGCACAGCUUAAGAAGUUAUUAACAACAAUUGUGCUACAAACAAUUGGAUGAAAUAAUAAGAGGCAAUAAUUGCAAACCGUGCAACAGAAAAGUGCAACAAUGUUUUCAGGACUGCAGUACCAUUCUUUUCUAGAACAAUACUACUACAACCAUGUCAAAUUCUCAAUAUAGUGGUGAGCUUAGUCUCCAUAAGACCUACCAAACCAUCUCCAUCGUUUCUCUGAUUAUUAGCCAAAAUCUCAUUCUUUACACAAGAAAUCAAGAGGAUUUGGAAUCAUUUUUUAGAGUAAAACAUGUUUAAAUCCUGCAGGAAAUAAAACUGUUCCAACCUAUCACGACAGGCACACAUAAGAUGGCCCCAUAUUUAACCAUAUAUAAGCUCCCCCAAAUGCACAUUGCUACAAUCCAAUACAGAAACCUAC